GGGCAAGUAGCUCAGUUGGCAGAGCAUUGGGCUAGUAUUCCAAAGGUCGUAGGUUCGAUUCCCACCGUGGCCA
Paramuricea clavata is the source of this 73-nucleotide non-coding RNA. NCBI's taxonomy places the organism in Eukaryota, Metazoa, Cnidaria, Anthozoa, Malacalcyonacea, Plexauridae. The record is from the annotation of a GenBank genome assembly.